Molecule: ribosomal RNA, 474 nt
Filed under: uncultured bacterium
Lineage: Bacteria
Description: SSU rRNA
Rfam family: Bacterial small subunit ribosomal RNA
Source: RNAcentral
AGGACGAACGCUGGCGGCGUGCUUAACACAUGCAAGUCGAGCGGAAAGGCCCUUCGGGGUACUCGAGCGGCGAACGGGUGAGUAACACGUGAGUAAUCUGCCCCUAGCUCUGGGAUAGCUCCGGGAAACCGGGAUUAAUACCGGAUACGACCACCUUAGACAUCUUUUGUGGUGGAAAGAAUUUCGGCUAGGGAUGAGCUCGCGGCCUAUCAGCUUGUUGGUGGGGUAACGGCCUACCAAGGCGACGACGGGUAGCCGGCCUGAGAGGGCGACCGGCCACACUGGGACUGAGACACGGCCCAGACUCCUACGGGAGGCAGCAGUGGGGAAUAUUGCGCAAUGGGCGAAAGCCUGACGCAGCGACGCCGCGUGGGGGAUGAAGGCCUUCGGGUUGUAAACCCCUUUCAGCAGGGACGAAGCGAAAGUGACGGUACCUGCAGAAGAAGCGCCGGCUAACUACGCGCCAGCAGCCGC